Molecule: long non-coding RNA, 1404 nt
Organism: Lagenorhynchus albirostris (white-beaked dolphin)
Lineage: Eukaryota; Metazoa; Chordata; Mammalia; Artiodactyla; Delphinidae
Exons: 3
Source: RefSeq, a predicted model, not a curated record
UCGGCGGGGCGCGAGGUCGCCGUCGCCGCCAGCGCGGCCGCCGCCCCGGCACCCGCCGGCGGGCCGCCCGAGUGGAACGCGGGCCCGGAUGGAACGCCGGGGAACCCGGAGGAGGGGCUCUGGUCGCCGGGAACGAGGCAGGCGGCGGGGUUUGGAGACAGAAAACUUAUCACAAGAUGCGGCCACCCUGGACCUGCAUUCCUACAGAGCAACAGGGGCAGAGGCGCCCUAUAGCCGGGCCGCGAUGAAGCAGGUUGCCCACCGCUGAGUUCAGUGACUGUAAAGUUAGCCAGCAUGGAUUGAGAUGCGGCCCCGUGCUGGGCCUGCAUACACAGUGCUCCCUUGAUGCUCACGACGCCCCCGUGACGGCAGGACCUUGCAGAGAAGGAAACCAGCUGCUCGUCUGAGGUCACGUGGUGUGAGUGGCAGGGCUCUGAUUUACCAACGCUGACAGCAGCAAUGUCCAACAGCUAGUGGGCGGGGAACACUCUCUGUAGGCCAAGCCCCGCAGUUAAUGCGGGACACACCAGUUCACCGGAUCCCAACUCACCCUGUACAGCGGGCUCUACCAUGGCCCCAUUUUACAGAGGAGGAAACUGGGGCUGAGAGGGGAGGUCAUUCACUGGGCUUCCCAACAGGUAAGGUGUCCAGCCAGGACUCAAACCUCUACCUGCCCAAGCUUGCAACGACUGCCUAUGAUUUUACCUGGACCAUAUCACACUGCAGUUAUGGCACGUGGAAGCCUUAAAUAUACGGAUGCCAACACACAGCCAUCUGACCUACACGGGUAAUUCUUUCCACCACCUUGGCCUAGAAAUCAGCGGGUGCCAGGAGAGGGGCAGGUCCGUCCCUCUUUUGGUCUCCCAUAGUCUAGGUGCUCCUAACACGUAAAGUUAUUUAUUUCUGUCUACCAACAUCAUCUGUUCAUCAAGUAAAGAUACGGUGAACUUGACAAUGAUGAAGGAAAAGGUGAGGUGUCCUCACUAAGAACUAGUAGGGAAGUGUGCUUUCACGGCCCACUUUCGAUACAAGGAACAAGAGCAGAUAUGUCUGAAUAUAAGAAAGUAGCCAGUGUAAACUUCCAUGUCAGAGUUGAUGAAAAUAGUCAUGCGAACUUCCCAACAACUGAGUGCAGAGGUGCUGGUUCACCCAGAUGCUCUCUGGAAGGGAACUGGCAGUGCUGAGGUCCCUGAGGAAGGGGAACGGGGCAGCUGGAGGAGAGAGACUCUCUCUUCCUCUCCACCCCUGUUUUGUUUGCUGCUUCUCCCGCCAUCUCUGGUCCCACAUCUAAUCCCAGGCCUGCAGGUGCCCACUCUGAGGCACUGGAUGUGUCCUUAAACGGCAUCCGUGAGAAAUCCGGAGUGCUUGUGUGGAUGUGGGUUGUUAAAAGAUGCUUGAAUUUGC